This 1049-nucleotide long non-coding RNA is filed under the name Salmo salar (Atlantic salmon). RNAcentral's name for it is "lncRNA (ENSSSAG00000109748.1)". Lineage: Eukaryota; Metazoa; Chordata; Actinopteri; Salmoniformes; Salmonidae. The record is from RNAcentral.
AGAGAAAGAGAGAGAGAGAGAGAGAGAGAGAGAAAGGGGAGAGAGAGACAGAAACACAGGCACAAAGCGGUGUUGCUAACAAAGGCAGUUAGUCUGGGCUCUCAUAGCAGCUAACCACCUAUAACUACAGUAACAAGGUGCUGCACCAGAGCUGUGAUGAUGCUCCCCGAGGCCUCCUCUCUCACCCCAUGUUCUGACUCCCUGGGAUGUGUGGAGCUGUGAGGUCCACUGUCACCGCCCGUCACCACCCAUGGCCCUGGAAGAGAAGAGGUGACGGAGCAGUUUGUCUGUUGACCUUUCCCCUCUCAGUCAGAUCGGUCCUCAUCUCUGUUCCAUCCCCUUUGGCAACACCUGUCUCUCUGUGGCCUUCAUGUAUUUGCUCAUGGUCGUGCCUCAGUGUGUACAUGGUGUGUUACCUAUGUUUUCCUGGACAUUUAAAGUUCAAGUGGAAUCUUUGUUGGCUAUCCAAUAGCAUUCUGUUAUUUGGUAUUAUGGAAUUAUAAAGAGGGGGGUAAUCCAUGUGGAUCAUGGGUCAUAAAAGUUCACAUUAUAGUAAUUUCCCCUGAUUAGAGUCUUGGUGGUCAUACAAUUAAUUUGAUUUUAUGGAAAUAAUUAAAUGAAGGAUCCAAGUGUGAAGUAGGCUACAGUAUUUGGAUAACUGAUUUGUGUGGGUGAAAUGGGGAUCACUGUUUUCACUGUGAAAUUAUAUGAGUUAGGGACAAAUGUUUUUGUAUUUUAUCAUUUUAUACAUAUUAACAUAUUAACAUACUGCCUUGCAGGGAAACUGAAAACUGCACAGGUGAUCAUUUUACCAAAGUCAGGCAUGAUUCUUAUGUUUUGGAUUUCUAGACUCGAUACAUAAGCAAAGUCUGCUGAAUGAUUUGACUUAGGCUACAGUGUGUCAAACAGGUUUAAAGUUCUUAAAAUUAUUGUUGUCAUAGAAGACGCCAGUAUUGCAUGUUGAAAGAACGAUAAAGAAUGUCUGAUUCAAACCAAAAUAAAAUAAUGUACAGUCUGUUGUGUUAUGUGAUAGCCUUUCCCCACUGUUC